GCCACCAGGUGCGUGGAGGACUCGGGUGGAGCGCGCUGCGGCGCGUUCGGGUUUCCAAGGUGAAGGGGGCGGAGCUUCUGAGAGAAAGUUUCCACCGAAACUUGAACUGGCGCUUGACGCCUGACGCCUCGCCCUUGGAGGUUCGCCCUUCGCCGGAGCUUCACCUCUUCACACACAGCGCCAAAAUGAAUAAACAGCUGUCUACCACCACGGCGGCGGCGCUUGUAGGUGGCACCAGGGACGCAGGAUGAACAUGCUGCAUUUCUCAAGAUUCACCAGCGUUUACUCAUGCUAAAGCUCAUAGGACUGUAGAUCUUAACAUCCCUAUGAGGGAGAGGACAAAGGAAACCACUCUGUCUAAGAAAAGCAGACACUAAGAUGCAACACAGAAGAGUGAGUGGC
Heterocephalus glaber (naked mole-rat) is the source of this 402-nucleotide non-coding RNA. The record is from RefSeq and is a predicted model, not a curated record. NCBI's taxonomy places the organism in Eukaryota, Metazoa, Chordata, Mammalia, Rodentia, Bathyergidae.